Molecule: ribosomal RNA, 253 nt
Filed under: uncultured bacterium
Lineage: Bacteria
Description: partial 16S ribosomal RNA
Rfam family: Bacterial small subunit ribosomal RNA
Source: RNAcentral
UACGGAGGGUGCGAGCGUUGUUCGGAAUCACUGGGCGUAAAGCGCGUGUAGGCGGCCUUGUAAGUCUGGUGUGAAAGCCCGGGGCUUACCCCCGGAAGUGCACUGGAAACUGUGAGGCUAGAGUACCGGAGAGGAGGGUGGAAUUCCUGGUGUAGCGGUGAAAUGCGUAGAUAUCAGGAGGAACACCGGUGGCGAAGGCGGCCCUCUGGACGGAUACUGACGCUUGGACGCGAAAGCGUGUGGAGCAAACAGU